UACAGAGGUGGCAAGCGUUGUUCGGAUUUAUUGGGCGUAAAGGGUCCGUAGGCGGUUCGGAAAGUUGGAUGUGAAAUCCUACAGCUUAACUGUAGAACUGCAUUCAAAACUCCCGAACUAGAGUAUGGAAGGGGUGAAGGGAAUUCCCGGUGUAAGGGUGAAAUCUGCAGAGAUCGGGAGGAACACCAGUCGCGAAGGCGCUUCACUGGUCCAUUACUGACGCUCAGGGACGAAAGCUAGGGGAGCAAAC
This 250-nucleotide ribosomal RNA is filed under the name uncultured bacterium. RNAcentral's name for it is "partial 16S ribosomal RNA". It matches the Rfam family "Bacterial small subunit ribosomal RNA", at positions 524 to 773 of the family's 1533-position model. The record is from RNAcentral.